RNAcentral lists this ribosomal RNA (253 nucleotides) under uncultured bacterium. RNAcentral describes it as "partial 16S ribosomal RNA". It matches the Rfam family "Bacterial small subunit ribosomal RNA", at positions 524 to 776 of the family's 1533-position model. The record is from RNAcentral.
GACAGAGGGUGCAAACGUUGCUCGGAAUCACUGGGCGUAAAGGGCGUGUAGGCGGGCAGGCAAGUCAGAUGUGAAAGCCCUGGGCUCAACCCAGGAACUGCAUUUGAAACUCCCAUUCUUGAGUGUCGGAGAGGAAAGCGGAAUUCCUGGUGUAGAGGUGAAAUUCGUAGAUAUCAGGAGGAACACCGGUGGCGAAGGCGGCUUUCUGGACGACAACUGACGCUGAGACGCGAAAGCGUGGGGAGCAAACAGG